AAGUCGUAACAAGGUAACCGUAGGUGAACCUGCGGUUGGAUCAUUACCAAAUAUCCAAUGGGGUGCAGCUUGCUGUGCUCCAUUUCCCCACCUCUUGUGCAAUGUAUCGUUUUGGCGGGCGUUGUCCGCUGCCACCCCCCCGCCUGCAGAGCAUCUCCAGUAACAUGGAGAUGUGAGCUGGUGGUGGCGGCAGUGGGCAACCUUGUGGGACGGCGCGUGGCGUUCCCUUACCGGGCCGCUGCGCACGUGCCAACCGUCAUGUUAACCCACCUAACCUACUUUACACCCAAACUUCUGACGUUUAUAUGCUAGGGUGCGCGUUUGCGUACGCUCUGGAACAUAACCGAAAACAACUUUUGACAACGGAUCUCUUGGCUCUC
RNAcentral lists this unclassified non-coding RNA (380 nucleotides) under fungal sp. RNAcentral describes it as "partial internal transcribed spacer region". The stretch from base 1 to 46 matches the Rfam family "Eukaryotic small subunit ribosomal RNA", at positions 1786 to 1831 of the family's 1831-position model. Lineage: Eukaryota; Fungi. The record is from RNAcentral.